RNAcentral lists this ribosomal RNA (142 nucleotides) under uncultured eukaryote. RNAcentral describes it as "partial 18S ribosomal RNA". It matches the Rfam family "Eukaryotic small subunit ribosomal RNA", at positions 1299 to 1458 of the family's 1831-position model. The record is from RNAcentral.
CCGUGGAGUGAUUUGUCUGGUUUAUUCCGUUAACGGGCGAGACCGCAGCCUGCUAAAUAGUUUUGCUCACCUUUUGGUGGGUUGAGACUUCUUAGAGGGACAACUCUGGCUAUAACCAGGGAGGAAGUUUGCGGCAAUAACA